AUGUGUUGCGUUACCAGGAGGGCUUUCUCCAUCUUGCUAGGCCUUCUCAGGGUGGGUGUUUUGAGGCAUGGAUUCUCCUACCACCCUCUCACGGGAUGGUGGAUGUGGCCCGGCUGCUUUAUCAGGUCUCACGAUGGGGGAAGAGCAGUCCUGCCUGUGCUGCUUGCACGAAAAAUCCCUUACCUGCUGAUGCGACACUGCGGAACACGAGGAAACAAAUUUAUCUUCAGGCAGCGUUGUUCAAAGCCUCGGGAAAACAGGCAGGGGCGAAGUGUCCUGUCUUUCCUUCGGCACGACUGCCCAGGUCUGGAGACAAGCCUUGCGGAAAGUCAGCGCUGGGGCUUUAGCUCCACAUCGUCCUACUCUGCCUUUCCUGGGACGCAGAUGUCCUUGGGUUUCAAACCUGAACAGGGGGAAGAUUCAUCCUAGCCAGGCGUGAAGAUCCCACAGGAUUGUUCUGGUGUUGUUCCAGGGCACCUGUGCUACGUGGGGCGUGCGUCAGGAAUAAACACCGAUUCUUGUUGGCA
RNAcentral lists this long non-coding RNA (527 nucleotides) under Anser brachyrhynchus (Pink-footed goose). Its description in RNAcentral is "lncRNA (ENSABRG00000020877.1)". Lineage: Eukaryota; Metazoa; Chordata; Aves; Anseriformes; Anatidae. The record is from RNAcentral.